Molecule: ribosomal RNA, 205 nt
Filed under: uncultured bacterium
Lineage: Bacteria
Description: partial 16S ribosomal RNA
Rfam family: Bacterial small subunit ribosomal RNA
Source: RNAcentral
UACGUAGGGGCCGAGCGUUGUCCGGAGUUACUGGGCGUAAAGCGCGCGCAGGCGGCGUACCGCGCCCGGCGUGAAAGCCCCCGGCUCAACCGGGGAGGGUCGUCGGGGACGGGUGCGCUUGAGGACGGCAGGGGCAGGUGGAAUUCCCGGUGUAGUGGUGAAAUGCGUAGGAGAUCGGGAGGAACACCCAGGGGGAAACCAGCCG